AUGCAGCGUUUGCAAGCCGAAGCCUUUGCUCACCUGCUAGUUCUGGAAAGAGAUGCCUGAGUAAGAAAACCGCCGUGGAAAGGCUGAAGAAACACGUCAACAAAUGCAGAAUAGAAGGUGCCAAAUCUGAAGAGGUCCCUGCUUGCAUGAAGGCUCUUCACAACAAUAAGAGGCUUGGAAUGAAUCUGUGCUCUCACUCUUGUGGGAAGCCUACCUUUCAGCUCUUGUCUUCAGACUCGGCAUGGAAGGCAUGAAAAAAGCAACAAUAGAGGAGAGGACGGGACUGGGCAAGCAUUCACCUCUAAUCAGGUUCAGAAUGCCAGAUUCAGUCAUGGCUGAAUAGAGGUGGGAAGUUUGGUGUUUCAGAUGAACACGGCAACAUGGCUGCAUUUAGCUUCACUGUUCCAUUUUUGGCUGUGGGAAGAAAACCACUCUGCUCCUCCACAUCAUUUUUUAAUUCAUUGGGAAAGCAUGGGGAACAGUGAGUAACUUCAAAAUCGUGCUGCACCUUUGAUCUUAAUUUCCAAAUCCUGUAAUUUCUUUAAAGUACACACACUUUCCUCCCUCUCACCACCAAACACACAGUCUUAUUUGAGUGUCAAACAGGAUUUUAAUGAGUCCCGCUAGAGAGAGGGGAAAGCAGCUGUUCAAGUUAGUUUCUAUAAAUAAUUCUAUAUGAUCGCUGCUAAACUUUUAAGAGCUACCGCUAGAGCUUGCCUGUUUCCUCUCAUAUCCCUUAGAAAGCUGGUCUGUGAAGUGAAUGACUUUUUGCCACAGAUCUUACACAUGUAUUUGUCAUGAGCCAAAGGCUGGAUGUUGCACUGCGUAACAUCCUUGAUACUCUUUAUUUAAUUAUUUUAGACAUUACACAAAUUGUUCCCAAGUGUGAAUGCUGCAUUGACACAUGGUGCUUAAUCGUCAUAAUCAUCAUCGUUGUUGUUAUCGUCAUGCCUUUGAAAAAGGCUUCCAGUAGAAAAUAGAAAAAGAAGAAGAAUUCAUAUUCUUACAUGUUAUUUAUGGUUUAAUAAAAUCCAGGUGAAAUGCCUGUAAUGUAUUGUAAGGGAGGCUGCCUCUGAACCUCAUUCAGAAAUGUUAAUUGGUGCACAAAUGUAGUUGCUAGUUUAUUAAAGUACAAUGAAUGUGCAUAAAUAUAUUAUUUCAGUAUUUAAAGCUCUUCCAUUAAUUCCCACUUGAUUUAUCAAUUUGAAACACUGUUUUUGAUGACUGAAGAGACACGAGCUUUUUUCUUCAGUGGAAUCCAUACAAAAAUAUACCUUUGUCCAGCAUCUUACAUACAUAAGCACCCUUCAGUCUCGCGAGACUAUAGUAACAUGUAUGUUUGGGCUUUUCAGUGUCGAAGUAUGGUAAAGAAGGAGAAAUAUUCUAAUUUUAAAUAUGGGGAUACACAUUUAUUAAAUAAAUCAUGCAUAUAGAGUGUUCAUAAGUGACCUCGGUGAUGCUUUUGAAGAGGAAUAAACUAAGCUUCUAGUGUAAACUGUCCUCACUAUGGUGCUUCCCAGCUGUGUUGGCUAUGCUGUCUGAAGACUGUAGGAGUUAUACUCCAAAGCAUCUGGAGGGCACCAGACUGCUAAAAAUCCUUUGUCCUGAGAUCUGGUUCUUACCAUCCAUGUGUGCCAAGAACCUUCUCUCUCACCUAUCUGUCGCUCUCGAUCAUCCAUUCUUCCUAGCCCUUGCCUCCCCUUCUGUUCCUUUUUCAUACUGCCAUAAUUGUUGGCUAAAAUGACUUCUCCAUUUCCUGGUCCUUUGGCAAGUUUCCUUUUCCCCCAGUCUGUGGGCCUCUCAUCCCUAAAUUCACAUUGCAGUCCCAGUUAGAGGAGACCCAUUGGCUGUUUAAACUAUUGAUGAGUAAGCCUUCAUAGAAUCAU
Molecule: non-coding RNA, 1886 nt
Organism: Pogona vitticeps (central bearded dragon)
Lineage: Eukaryota; Metazoa; Chordata; Lepidosauria; Squamata; Agamidae
Source: RefSeq, a predicted model, not a curated record